GGCCGGUUCCGGGUCCUUCCGUGUAAACAGUCCGGCCAGGCUUAGUAAAUGGGAAAAUGAGUAUCAGCUGUGCAACGAGUGGCGAUUGAGCCGCGAGAGAGACACGUAUUUGCAAAAGGGAUUAUAAAAGGACACGUUUGUGUGGAGAGGGUAGGACACAGAGCGGGGAGAGACUGCAUCUUAGGAGGAAGUAGCCUUAAAUUGGCGGUUUUGAUGGAUCUGGAUCUGGAUCUGGAUCUGGAUCCAUAAAGGGAGAUAAUGCUAACAGAGGAAGAGAGGCAGUGGAUCUAUGUUACUUCGUCAAGCAUACACUUCCCACACUGUUUUGGAUGUACAGUAUCGUCAAUUGAGACGAGGGAGUCAGCUGGGACUGCGAGUGGAGACCUUAUUCACUGCUGUCCGAAGAGGAACCGCUAUGUGAACCCCCUACCAGUGUCUGCUCCAUUACUUACCUCUGGCUGCCCGAAGAGGAACUGGUGUGAACCUUCUGCGCAGCCUGACGAAGAAGAGAAUCAGCUCAGCAUGUCGUUUUUUUUUUUUUUGUUUUUUUUUAGUUUAGGAUUUAGCCUAUUUUAAUUUAAUAAAAUGCAACGUUUAAGACCCAUUACCAUGUCUGGUCUCGUGGUGUCUUUGGGUAACUCCUCGAGGUGGUACGCUUAAUAGGGGUGGUGUGAGACACUGGGGGAGGCCACCCCGGCCUGUGACAUUACUGAUAUUUUUCUUACUCUA
Molecule: long non-coding RNA, 729 nt
Organism: Carassius auratus (goldfish)
Lineage: Eukaryota; Metazoa; Chordata; Actinopteri; Cypriniformes; Cyprinidae
Exons: 3
Source: RefSeq, a predicted model, not a curated record